UACGUAGGUGGCAAGCGUUGUCCGGAUUUACUGGGCGUAAAGAGCGCGCAGGCGGCUGGUCAAGUCCGAUGUGAAAUCUCCCGGCUUAACUGGGAAACUGCAUCGGAAACUGAUCGGCUUGAAGGUGGGAGAGGGUAGUGGAAUUCCCGGUGUAGUGGUGGAAUGCGUAGAGAUCGGGAGGAAUACCAGUGGCGAAAGCGGCACCCUGGCCUUGGCCUGACGCUCAUGUGCGAAAGCGUGGGGAGCAAACGGG
This 253-nucleotide ribosomal RNA is filed under the name uncultured bacterium. Its description in RNAcentral is "partial 16S ribosomal RNA". It matches the Rfam family "Bacterial small subunit ribosomal RNA", at positions 524 to 776 of the family's 1533-position model. The record is from RNAcentral.